RNAcentral lists this long non-coding RNA (3011 nucleotides) under Panax ginseng (ginseng). RNAcentral describes it as "long non-coding RNA (PGIN_LNC003123)". The record is from RNAcentral. Lineage: Eukaryota; Viridiplantae; Streptophyta; Magnoliopsida; Apiales; Araliaceae.
CCAAUUAUUGUGCCGUUAUACGGAUAUUCCUCGACAAAAAAGAAUAUUCCCCGACCAAUCAAAUAUUAUAUAACAACUUGCAUACUUUGCAAAAUUUAUAAAUAUUACCCACAACUAUAAUAUUAUAUCAAAUACACACCAUAAUAUUCAAAAAAAAAAUUCAAGGAAUUUAAAUCUUUAUUCAUAAAAUUUGGACUCUCACAUAAGUUUUGUCCUAUACGCCAUAAUUAUAUGGUGGGGGUACUUGCGGCGUCUACCCAUAGACGUAUCUUCCUUACGACGAUAUAAUAGAACGUGGUAAGUAAAUCCUCCGACUAUUGGAAUUAAUUUGGUGCCAAUGGUGAGACGUUUAUCUGCCCAUACCUGAAAAUGAAAAAAUAAAGCACAAAUGUUAUCGUAAACUUUUAAUAAACAGACAUAUAUGUCAGACAAAAAAUAUGUAAAUGUAAAUAUUUAAAUUUUCUGCAAGAAAGUAAUACAGCCACCAACUGCAGUUGCACCGAUCCUUGUCGCUUUGUGUAAACUGUCGUAUAAGCAUCUCAAUACGGCUACACCUCAUGCGACAAGUCCGGAAGUCGCACGACGGGGUAACUCCCCAAAUCUAUAAGCUAACCACCUUGGUCGUAAGUCUUUUCGCCCUUUUGAGCAAAUGGAAACAAUAUAUUUAGAUGUUUCCAACAACUCCUUUUUUAGUUAUUCGUAAAGCCCACAUGUAAUGAGCUUUCCUAAUACAGGUAAACCUAGGAUAUAAAACGCGUCUUCUAACAUACUGGUCAUCUCUCCAAUGAAAAAAUGAAAGAGAGAGAGAGACGUAUAUAAUGCAUCUAAUGUAUGGCAAAAAACCCUAAUAUUUACUUGUUAUUGCGAUGUAUUUGUAAUUUUUUGAUGGAUCUUGAAGAAGUUGAAGAGAAAAAUUUGUUUAGAUGUGAGAGAUUAUCAAAGACCAAUCUGCAUGGAGUUGAAGAAAAGAAUUUAAUUCGUAUCGGAGACUUGCAUGAUUUUUUUUUCAGGUCGACUGUUCAAGAUUUGCAUUCUGCAAAUCUGAAGAAGAUGGAGCAGUCGUGAUCUAGGGGGAAAGCAGGUACCGCAUAAUAAUUUUGGGGACAGUAAAGCUACUGCAUGAUUAUUAUGCGGACGGGAUAUAUAGCAUCGACAUAAUUAUCCUACAGAUGUCAUGGUAAUGAAAGUAAGACUUUUUGUCAUUUCCUUUCUGGGUUCAGGCUAGACACGAUUAUAUAUUGUUUGCCUUCUUAAUAACUAUAUUGCGGAUGAAGUGUUCCUAAAACACCAUUGGAUCACCUCAAGGGCGGAGCCAGAAAUUUUUUUCCUCCUGGACUACCAAGUGCCAUUUAGAUUUCCCAAAUAAUAACAAACCAUUACACGCCAAACACUCCCCCUAACUUGCUCACAAACCAACUUUUCCUACUGUCAGAACUUUUAUCGAACACCUUGAGGACGCUGUUUUAUAGCCCCUUUCUCUCCCUUGUUUGAAUGUUCAAUAACCAGUGCACAAGCACCCAACAAUCAUAAUAGAUAAUAACAAACUUGAAUAGACUAAAUUAAGCCCCAACUCCCCCAAAACUGUCAAAACCAAACUUUAUCCAACUAAUUGUAAAAACUAUGAAAUUUUACCUUCAAUGCAAAUCAGGAAGAAAUUCAUUAAAUGGUUCACUUCUAUUUUUUAUCAACUAUGAUGCAAACAAAGUUAAGGCGAUCUAACUAAUCAGCUCAGUCAAAAAAAAAUUUCAUUUAUAGUAAUAUGAAAACGUCAAAAAAGCAUACCAUUCAAUUAUCCAGAAUACAAAAGUAAAGCAAGACUCCAAUUCUUUACUUCCAAAAUAGUACUGCUAAAUAGAAAACUAAAUGAAGAUGAAGAUGUGUCGCCAUUGGAGUAUCAAAGAAAGAGGUCUGUCAAGUUUGCAGGUCCUCCUUUACUGGCUAAAGUGACAGUUAGCAGAGAUGUCAGUGAACAAGUUAUAGUUGCAUCACCCAAUUCUCUCAAGCAAAAGGCUAAAAGAAAACCACUUAUCCCUUUAAUUAGUGGGAAAUUCUCAAAAAAGAAGGGUAGCCAAGAAGUUGAGCCUCAUAAACGAGGCAGAUAGUUUGGGAUACAAUACCAUGACAAUCUACUGGAAGUGUCAUCAGUACCAAGAACAUACAGGACGUCAGUACCAAAAACAUAAAGAAAAUUGCAUCGUCAUAUUCACAAAUAAAUAUUCUUUUUACCUGAAAAAAAUCGGUUCCUUCUGAUUUCGUUUUCUAUGUGAGACACUAUUGAGACACAAGAAAACAGGAAAACAAUAUUGGGCUGAGCUAUUGAAGAUAUAUAAGUUCUAAAUAUUUUUCAAAAACUCCACCCGGACUAAAGCCCACCCUAGUCUAUACAUGCCUCUGCCCCUGGAUCACCUCACCAACGGUCAAGAUUGGGUUGGGAGGAUCGGAGUUUCCAUCCUCCCAGAACCGUCGUUAUAACCUGGUUCAAACCCUAUGACGAUGAGUUUAAUAACAAUUUUGUCCAUUGUUAAAGGUGGUCCGCAUACGGACUAUCCGCAUAUGAAAUGGCAUAUAUAUAUAUAUAUAUAUAUAUAUAUAUAUAUAUAUAUAUAUAUAUAUAUAUAUAUAUAUAUAAUUUGAGGAUUCUAUAAUUAAAUUAAUUUGACGAAUCAUAAAAUUAGUAAAUAAUCGUCAAAAAUAGAAAAAAAAUCACAUAAUAUGAAAAAAGAUAUAUAAAAAGUUACCUCGUUACGGAUUGCCAACCUGUUUGACACUGUUAUGCAAAGUUUACACUAUAAGCAACGUUUGAUGGGGCUUGAACCACACUCUGGUUCGUCCAUCCCAUCUCGAUGCUACGCCUGAUGAUUAUUUAAGAAUUUUUUAAAACUGAUGUAUUAUUUUAAUUUAAAGGACUUAGAAAUAUAGUAGAGUGUGGGAGGCCAUAAUCUGGGAAUGGUUAAACUAUUUGUAAUUUGGUCUAAUUUCAAAACAUAUAGAAGCUUCUGUUAGAAAGUCGG